RNAcentral lists this ribosomal RNA (1680 nucleotides) under Triticum aestivum (bread wheat). Its description in RNAcentral is "partial small subunit ribosomal RNA". The record is from RNAcentral. Lineage: Eukaryota; Viridiplantae; Streptophyta; Magnoliopsida; Poales; Poaceae.
AUGACCGACGGAAGGAACCCAGCAGAACAAGUGCAUAUGGUCUUUGAGAGAUUGACACUAAAGAAAAUUGCCCCCGCGUCGUCCGCCUGGGCGACUCGGGCGGCUACUCGAUCUGCUUUUCUCGGCAGUUCCCCGUGCGUCCUCCCCUCGCCGCCGGCGGUCGGCGCCGCUGGGCUCGCCUAUGCGGUUGACGGCGGCGGCGGGGUUCCAAUCUCGUGGCAAUUUUGGCAGUGGUUUGGCGAGGUGCAGCGGCGGCUUAGAUGUUGUGAAGGCGGAAAAGAUGCAGCGGCGGCCCUCCGCGCGGGGCUCGAUCCAACGUAUGCAUGGAUGUUGGGUGGCCAGAUCGGCAUGAAGAUGCAGGCCGCUGCCACUCAUGGAUGCCAUGGUCACCGAUGGAGGGAGCCUCGCGGCGUCGUCAAUUCCUCGGCAGAAGCACGGAACAACUCCUCUCUGCCAUGUCAAGAGUGGAGAUCCAACCUGAGAGCGUGUAGCAUGCUCAUGCCAUGGCCGUUGCUCCUGGAGUGGCUUUUGGUGUUGGGACACGGCAGGUUGAGGCGGUGGCCAACUGCAGUUAUGGUGGCCGUCGCCCUCAUCUCCUGCGGAGAGGCGCAGUCAUGGUGGUCUUUUGCUCGGGCUCGGGCGCAAGUUCAGGUGUUGCUUUUGAAGAACCCUUCUCGUAGUCUUUUGUAUUGUCAAGAGAUGAUGGACGUUCACGGCAUAGCUUUGGUCUUGCAUGACUUUGCUUUUGCCGGCGUGAUCAUCUUCUGUGUUUUGUUGGCCGUGUGCAUCUUAGUUAUGCAGAGACCGGCCCGACCCGUUCGUCCAUUCCCCUCUGUCUCGCCUUCUUCUCUGCCUGCCUCCGCCGCCGCCUCCGCCGUCCAUUUGUCGCCGCCGGCCGCCGCAGCGAUGGUGUCCUGGAAGGACGGCGAAACUAGUAGCGAAGAUUCUGUGUCCCCCCACUUCAACUCGCACGAGGAGGAGACCUAUAUCCCACAGACCAUUCUUGACCCGGAGUGGUGCGGUAUUGUUGCCGGAGGACCGAUGUGCUGUCACAACCUUCCUGUUCAUAGGGCUGUUGUGUUUCAAGGAAUCAACACUGGCCGUAGGUUUUAUGGAUGCGCUAAUCAGGAAGGUGACAAUUGUGGUCUGGUUCAAUGGAUUGACCCAGAAUGGCCAGAACCCAUGAAAAAUGCACUACGCAAACUUUGGGACAUAGGAGAAGAAGCUAAUCCAAGAGAAGCACCACAACCACAUCAAAGAAACAAGCAAUUUUUUUCAACAAUUCACAAGAAUGUGAUGAGGGAGAACUAUCAGAAGAUUAUGCAGGAUGGUGAUGUAGAGAAUGCUGUACUUCAAGCCCAGGAAGAGAAGGCUAAGCUUGAGAAAGACAAUAUUGAGCUGAGGACAUCACUACAAGUCAUUAAGCAGAGCACUGAUGAACUUGUUAGCAAUUGGAAGAAACAUGUAGCAGAUGAAGGUCUUCAACAGAUUGAACAGAUGAAGAAGGAGAAGAAAAAGUUAGAGUAUAUCAUAGCUGAUUUGCUGAAGGAUGGGGAGGCAAACAAGGUUUCUCAUAUUGAUAGAGGAGCAAAAGUUUGUAAUACUAUUGUUAGGCUAGAGAGCCUAUCGACAACCGUCGACAAGAUGAACCAACAACUUUAUGGGCUAACCAUAGGCUAG